AUGCACGCUGGCGGCGUGCCUAAUACAUGCAAGUCGAGCGAACGGACGAGAAGCUUGCUUCUCUGAUGUUAGCGGCGGACGGGUGAGUAACACGUGGAUAACCUACCUAUAAGACUGGGAUAACUUCGGGAAACCGGAGCUAAUACCGGAUGAUAUUUUGAACCGCAUGGUUCAAAAGUGAAAGACGGUCUUGCUGUCACUUAUAGAUGGAUCCGCGCUGCAUUAGCUAGUUGGUAAGGUAACGGCUUACCAAGGCAACGAUGCAUAGCCGACCUGAGAGGUUGAUCGGCCACACUGGACCUGAGACACGGUCCAGACUCCUACGGGAGGCAGCAGUAGGGAAUCUUCCGCAAUGGGCGAAAGCCUGACGGAGCAACGCCGCGUGAGUGAUGAAGGUCUUCGGAUCGUAAAACUCUGUUAUUAGGGAAGAACAUAUGUGUAAGUAACUGUGCACAUCUGGACGGUACCUAAUCAGAAAACCACGGCUAACUACGU
Molecule: ribosomal RNA, 495 nt
Filed under: uncultured bacterium
Lineage: Bacteria
Description: partial 16S ribosomal RNA
Rfam family: Bacterial small subunit ribosomal RNA
Source: RNAcentral